This is a non-coding RNA of Phrynosoma platyrhinos (Desert horned lizard), 72 nucleotides long. The record is from the annotation of a GenBank genome assembly. Lineage: Eukaryota; Metazoa; Chordata; Lepidosauria; Squamata; Phrynosomatidae.
GACAACAUGGUGUAGUGGUUUGAGCAUUGGAUUAUAACUCUGGAGACCAGGGUUCAAAUCCCGGUUUGGCCA